This 144-nucleotide small RNA is filed under the name uncultured Acetatifactor sp. RNAcentral's name for it is "Clostridiales-1 RNA". It matches the Rfam family "Clostridiales-1 RNA", at positions 1 to 146 of the family's 166-position model. Lineage: Bacteria; Bacillati; Bacillota; Clostridia; Lachnospirales; Lachnospiraceae. The record is from RNAcentral.
AUACAAAGGUCACAAGACAAAUAGUUUCGACGUGCUUGCACGGGAGAAACUAUUUGCCUUGGUGACCUGAACGAUAUGAGCAUAAAAGUAUAGCGAAAGCUAUACGAUAUGCGAAUAGCGUUAAGGAUUGCGGGAGUGCUCGCA